CGAGUACGACUAUAAUCUUUCGUGGGGUAGUCGGAUAGUCGCUCUACGUGAGAGGAAAGUCCGGGCUUCACAGGGCAAGAUGCUUCCUAACAGGAAGCCCCGCACCUAUGGUGCGGGGGGAAAGUGCCACAGAAAACAUACCGCUCUGCACCAUAGGUGUGGGGUAAGGGUGAAAAGGCGAGGUAAGAGCUCACCGCCCUGAUGGCGACAUCAGGGGCUUGGCAAACCCCAUCUGAAGCAAAACCAAGUAGUUCCGGUCGAAGCGGCCCGCUUUCCCCCGCACUUUUGGUGACACAUGAGAUCGAUGGAAACGGUGCGUAUAGGAAAUGUUGAAGUCCUUCAGAGAACUGGAAGGCAGCAUUCUCGGUGA
This 370-nucleotide RNase P RNA is filed under the name Caldifarciminota bacterium SM1_77. Its description in RNAcentral is "bacterial RNase P". The stretch from base 40 to 329 matches the Rfam family "Bacterial RNase P class A", at positions 18 to 314 of the family's 367-position model. Rfam says of the family: Ribonuclease P (RNase P) is a ubiquitous endoribonuclease, found in archaea, bacteria and eukarya as well as chloroplasts and mitochondria. The record is from RNAcentral. Lineage: Bacteria; Pseudomonadati; Caldifarciminota.